This 576-nucleotide ribosomal RNA is filed under the name Enterobacterales bacterium. Its description in RNAcentral is "bacterial SSU rRNA". It matches the Rfam family "Bacterial small subunit ribosomal RNA", at positions 825 to 1402 of the family's 1533-position model. Lineage: Bacteria; Pseudomonadati; Pseudomonadota; Gammaproteobacteria; Enterobacterales. The record is from RNAcentral.
UGUGCCUUGAGGCGUGGCUUCCGGAGCUAACGCGUUAAGUCGACCGCCUGGGGAGUACGGCCGCAAGGUUAAAACUCAAAUGAAUUGACGGGGGCCCGCACAAGCGGUGGAGCAUGUGGUUUAAUUCGAUGCAACGCGAAGAACCUUACCUACUCUUGACAUCCAGAGAACUUAGCAGAGAUGCUUUGGUGCCUUCGGGAACUCUGAGACAGGUGCUGCAUGGCUGUCGUCAGCUCGUGUUGUGAAAUGUUGGGUUAAGUCCCGCAACGAGCGCAACCCUUAUCCUUUGUUGCCAGCGGUUAGGCCGGGAACUCAAAGGAGACUGCCAGUGAUAAACUGGAGGAAGGUGGGGAUGACGUCAAGUCAUCAUGGCCCUUACGAGUAGGGCUACACACGUGCUACAAUGGCGCAUACAAAGAGAAGCGACCUCGCGAGAGCAAGCGGACCUCAUAAAGUGCGUCGUAGUCCGGAUUGGAGUCUGCAACUCGACUCCAUGAAGUCGGAAUCGCUAGUAAUCGUAGAUCAGAAUGCUACGGUGAAUACGUUCCCGGGCCUUGUACUCCCCGCCCGUCAAAA